GCCUGGCGUGGCCGUCCCAGGGGUUUGCAGCUGGAAGGACCGCGCUUUGCGAGCGCUUUGCGAGCUCGGCGAGCGAGUGGGAGAUCUCCAACCACUCCAAGAAGCUCCCGAGGGCAGAUCUGCGCCUUCUCGGGUGCAUUUACUCUGUACGCCUAGACGCAGGUAACAGCCUUUCCAUAUGUGAAGUGGAGGAGGGAGAUGGGACCUGUUUAUGGAGUCUGCACUGCAAAUGGGCCAGAAAAAUAACAGCUCUUUACCGAGUGCUACCAAGCUCAUCCUCCGCUAGGCCAUGCCUCGGCCUAACAGCUUCGGAAACACACGGGCUCAGCAGAACAGAAGGCUGGGUGUUGGUGUGAACGGCACACGGCUCUCAUGGGACUGCCCCAGCGCUGAUCUGCAGAAGGUAACUGAAGAAACGCCACCAAGAAUCAAGAAACCACACCAGCGAAAGAAGGAGCCAGAUGGAAAGGAAUGCUUCUGAGCCGAUUUUAUGGAGGGCUGAGAAAACGCAGCAUCUACAAAGGAAAAGGACAUGUUUAACACGCUCCGGAUUCGAGGUUAAGCUGCAAUAAAGAUGCAAAUCCGAUAAGAAAUGACCCCAGCAGUUCAGUGCCCAGAUCCGCAGGGUUCCGCAAUGACAGCCACUUCAGUGCUCACCAUUGAAAUGAGAUGAAUAUCCAAAAUGCUUCCUCCCUGGAGAGAAGUUUUGACAGGUUUAGGAAAAUAUAAAUCUAGCAAUCGGCUCAGGACGCUGUGGGAAGGCUAAGCCAGAACUCUGGGAGUCGGGGUUCCCUGCUGCCCACUCACUCACUGCCUGUGAGACCUUAGGUCUGGCUCUCAGCAGGACCAGAGUUUUCUCCCUGUUUUCUUCUUCUUGGAGGCUAAGUGAUAGCUCAGGAGGGAUGAGAAUCCCUGAGUGGAACUGAAGGAGAAGAGGGCUGGAGAAGCUGUUGGGAUCCAGAGACAGGAGAAAGAGGCAGUAAAAAGACCACAAAAAACCUCAGGAGAACUAAAUUAGAAGGCUUCUAGCAAAAUUGCUGUUAUUUGGGACAAAUUGGUCACUAAGAUGGUAAAUAUGUAGGCUUCAAUGUAGCCUGUUUAGGAGAGAUUGAACUUAAUGCAGAAACCCUAUUUUCAAGAAAAAAAAAAGUAGACAUGGUCCAAUGAAUAUUUUUUUUCUGAUUUGAAAAUUCAUGUGUGAAAAAUUUAAACAAGUCUUACAAUGAAGCCAUUUGAAGGAGGCCAAGAGAAUGUGUGUUCAUGAGAGGUUCCUCCUGUGGGCGAUGGGGUGAGGUCCAAAUGGGGGCUCGGAGACGGCGGGGAAGGAGCCUCAGAGCUGCUGUUCCUGAGGUCCAAGAACCCAGUGUUUUUCCUCCAACUCUUAUUAGCCAUUGGUCAAUGGCUGCCGCUGGUGGUGUUAACUCCCUGGCACUUCUGGCAUGUUCUGAGCAAACAGGAAAAGUCUUUAGUUUGGUGCUCCAAGUACAGUUUUCGGAGGGCUCUGAGAACCAGUAGCCUCCACACACACCUAUGAGAGAAAGCAGGCUGCCUCCCAGGCCAUUAUCAAGGGCCCUAAUAACACUGGCUUAUGAAUAUACGAGAUGAGCCCACAGAUAACCACGGCCACCCUGGAAUUACUGGUUCCCCAGGAUAAGGUCUACUGCUCAUCUCUGACUGGCCCUAGGCCCAGGAAAACAGAAAUGACAGCGUGGCCUCUGCUCGCUGCUGUGGAUGAGUUAUUCUGUUCCUCUAACAACCGGCUGGAUUCAUUUAGGCAAUUCGCACUCUGCUCUUUUCUAGACGGAUACCUUAACCACAUUUUCAACCCUGAGUGGCCAAGUCCACCAGCCCCUGAGAUGAAAGGUGACAAGUGCUCUCCCAGCAGAGCCCAUCAGCCAAGGGCUUUGACCUUGGGGUUGCCAGCCACAGGGGGCACAUUGUUCUCCUGCUUCCUUAUUAUUUCUGAGGCUGUCUGGGAGCUUCGUCAGCUCAAGCUUGAAAUCUUAUACAUUAUGCCUACCUGCUGGCUAAACAAGAGCUGUAUUGAUAACUUCGUUUGUGGUUUACAGAUAUUUUACACUUCUUAUUUAAUCUGCAUCCAGAUCUGCCCAUAUACUCCCGUCCCUGUCAAACCUAACAAUAUUUAAGUGCCUACAUUUGCCAAUAGCCCGUGUGAUCAUGUGAAUUUUCGCCAAUGGCCCAGCUGAGUCUGUGUCUUCAUUUGCCUGCUUGGGGUCUGAUAAUAGAUGAUCUCUAAACAGAAUUUACAGCAUUAUCAGCUGGAGAUUAACAAUAUCAAUCUCAUUUUUUCUUUUUCGUUUCACAGCAGCUGCUUUAUAACCUGAUCUACUUUGUUGUAUUUAUUGUCUUAUUAGUCAGAAUAUUUGCCAUAAAUUCAGAGCCAUUAUACCAGUGGCUCAUCCAUUGCUCAUAAAAAAAAAUGCUGUAUUACUUCAGCUUCUCAGCUGAUAGAUACUUUCAUAAGAAAACUAGAAAGCUUCCAGCAAUGUGUCUGAUAUAUGGCCGCCACCUUUUCCUCACUUCCAAAUGAUACCAAGGUCUAAGAAAGCAACAUGGCUGGAUGUGGAAUGGAUUUUCAUGCAAGUGAUGUCUUGUAAUUUGGGUCUAAAAUGUAAGAUUCUUGCUUUGAAAGCCGUUACUAACUAAUUGGUGAGAAAUUAUGUCUCAGAGUGCUAUUUUAUGAAUAGUGUUCUUAUGUGUUUUCAGAAAUAUUUAGCAAGUAUCAGCCAAGCAUCAAGUGCUUCUGGGUCCUGAGCAAAGAUGAAAAGUCAGAAUUUUCCACUUGAAAGAGAGCAGAUGUCCCAGAAAAGGCAGGAGACACAUGUACAGGCUCAUAGGAAUAAAACCCAUGAACUCAGGAUGUUCAAAUGCCUCCAUUCUUCUGGGGCAUGAAGAGAGGAGCAGGAAUGGUAGAGAUAUUCUGGAAGGUGGUCAGGAGUCAGGGAAAAAUCAAUCUUAUGUGCCCUAGAAGGAUCCUGGUUGUUGUGUUCUCAGUAGUGAGCACCCACAGAGGAUGUGCAAGGGUGACCAGCUUUUUAUAUAAGAAAGAUGACCCCUCUACAGUGUAGAGAGUAUGACAAGAGGCAAGAAGCUCAGUAUGAAGACCAUUUCAGUGAUCUGGAGGAAAGGCGAAGAGAAGAAAAGAGAUGUGGAAAUUACACAUAAUGCAGAACAGAUAGGACUGAAUGUAUUAGUCAAUUUUCUGUUACUAUAAUGAAGUACCUGCAGCUGUUGCUUUAUAAAGAAAAUAGGUUUAUUUAGGUCACUGUUUUGGAAGUUCGGGGGCAUGAUUCUAGCAUCAACUUGACUCUUGUGAGGAUCUCACGGUGGAUGGCAUCACAAUGGUGGAGUGUAGGAAAGGAAAGAUUACAUCACAAGACAGGAAGCCAAAGAGAGACUGGGGUCCCCUGGGAACUAAGUUGAUUUCCUCCAAGGACAGUGCCUCCCAGGGACCUAAGGGCUUCCCACUAGGCUCCACCUCUUAACGGUCCCACAACCUCUUAGCAUUGCUACACCAGACACCAAGCUUCCAACACAUGAACCCUUGGGAGACAAACCUCAUCCAAACCACGGCAUUGAAGAAAGAAUGAGAUUUGUAGUCUUAGACGGAGUCAAAUCCAUAACACUCAAGUUUCAAGCUUGGGCAAGAGGUGAAUGUCGAAGUGCUUUGUGAAAAUGGGGGAUAGAGGAGCAGGAGCAAAAUCGAGGAGAAGACAAAGUGUUUAUCCAUGAGCACCUUGAACUUCACAUGCCUCAGGGUCUUACAAGUAACUGCCAUGCCGAGGAUAGGAGCAAUAUCUCCGUGAAAACUGAAUGCUUGGUAUUCAUGAGCAGAGUAGCUGAAUUUGAAGUCAUAAGAGUGAAUAAAAUUGCCCAAUUUUGUAGAACGAUAAGGGGAGGGAGAGCUGAAGAUUGAGCCCAUCCUUCACAGAUUACACAAAGGAAAUUGGGCAAGGUCUAUGAGGAAGCCCGGAAGAGGUAAUGGCCUAGAGAUUUACAAGUAACUCUUACAAAGAUGGUGUACCAAUGGCCCAGUGCACCAAUCAUCCGUGAACAGACCAGCCUUGUUUCUUUCCUGUCUCAGUCUACCUUCUCCUCCCAGAUUCUUUGGAACAAGUCCCAGGCGCUGUAGCAUGACAUCCCUAGGCAUGCAAGCGUCCAGCCGUGCAAGACAGAACACUUUUUACACAUAACCUCGUUGUUUGUGUUUUGUGGGCCUCCGUAGGCUUCCGUUGUCUGAAGGAAUGUUCUUUUAAUCCCAUUCUCUGUUUUCUUGUGAAACUUAGAAUGAUCCAACCAUGCUCUGUUGCUGUUGUUUUUUUGUGAUUAUGAGUAAUAUUCUGGCACAAAGAGUUUUCCUGCACUUGUCCCCAGGAGAGAGCUCCAGCGUAGCUUUUCUUGUGUCUGUUGUUAUUGCAAAAGUGGACAGAAAUGAUCGAGUGUAGGUACAUGCAUGAUGGCAUGAAUGGUGUGACUCUACUUUGUGUACAGAGAAGUGAAAAGGUAUGCUCCAUUUGUGUAGUAUGAAUCAAAGUGCAUUCUGCUGCUAGAACAAAUAAAUUUUUAAAAAAUGA
This is a long non-coding RNA of Ictidomys tridecemlineatus (thirteen-lined ground squirrel), 4595 nucleotides long. RefSeq lists it as uncharacterized. The record is from RefSeq and is a predicted model, not a curated record. Lineage: Eukaryota; Metazoa; Chordata; Mammalia; Rodentia; Sciuridae.